AUGGGUAUGAAUCAAAGCCAGCAUUUUCUGAAGCCAUUGAUUUAAAGCAAGAGCCUAAAGUGGUAAUUUUCUAUGGUCUGCUGGCCAUUUUAGAACUUUAGAAAUGUACUGGUCAAUUCAUUAUAAAGAAACAACU
Small nucleolar RNA from Cavia aperea (Brazilian guinea pig), 136 nucleotides. The record is from Ensembl. NCBI's taxonomy places the organism in Eukaryota, Metazoa, Chordata, Mammalia, Rodentia, Caviidae.